Molecule: unclassified non-coding RNA, 336 nt
Filed under: soil metagenome
Description: partial contains 5.8S ribosomal RNA, internal transcribed spacer 2, and large subunit ribosomal RNA
Rfam family: 5.8S ribosomal RNA (bases 1-120)
Source: RNAcentral
GAUGAAGAACGUAGCGAAAUGCGAUAAGUAAUGUGAAUUGCAGAAUUCAGUGAAUCAUCGAAUCUUUGAACGCACAUUGCGCCCGCCAGUAUUCUGGCGGGCAUGCCUUUUCGAGCGUCAUUUCAACCAUCAAGCCCCAGGCUUGUGUUGGGGACCUGCGGCUGCCGCAGGCCCUGAAAACCAGUGGCGGGCUCGCUGUCACACCGGGCGUAGUAGAUUUUAUCUCGCUCAGGGCGUGCUGCGGGUCCCGGCCGUUAAAAGCCUUUUUUUACCCAAGGUUGACCUCGGAUCAGGUAGGAAGACCCGCUGAACUUAAGCAUAUCAAUAAGCGGAGGA